CCUACGGGGGCAGCAGUGGGGAAUAUUGGACAAUGGGCGAAAGCCUGAUCCAGCCAUGCCGCGUGUGUGAAGAAGGCCUUCGGGUUGUAAAGCACUUUCAGUGGGGAAGAAAGCCUUGGGGCUAAUACCCUCGAUGAAGGACAUCACCCACAGAAGAAGCACCGGCUAACUCCGUGCCAGCAGCCGCGGUAAUACGGAGGGUGCGAGCGUUAAUCGGAAUUACUGGGCGUAAAGCGCGCGUAGGCGGUCUGAUAAGCCGGUUGUGAAAGCCCCGGGCUCAACCUGGGAACGGCAUCCGGAACUGUCAGGCUUGCGUGCAGGAGCGGCAGGUAGAAUUCCCGGUGUAGCCGUGCAAUGCGUAGAGAACGGGAGGAAUACCAGUGGCGAAGGCGGCCUUCUGGACUGACACUGCCGCUGCGGUGCGAAAGCGUGGGUAGCAAACAGGAAUAAAUACCCGGGUAGUC
RNAcentral lists this ribosomal RNA (464 nucleotides) under Vreelandella stevensii. RNAcentral describes it as "partial 16S ribosomal RNA". It matches the Rfam family "Bacterial small subunit ribosomal RNA", at positions 338 to 795 of the family's 1533-position model. Lineage: Bacteria; Pseudomonadati; Pseudomonadota; Gammaproteobacteria; Oceanospirillales; Halomonadaceae. The record is from RNAcentral.